Molecule: ribosomal RNA, 193 nt
Filed under: uncultured bacterium
Lineage: Bacteria
Description: partial 16S ribosomal RNA
Rfam family: Bacterial small subunit ribosomal RNA
Source: RNAcentral
AACUCGACUACAUGAAGCUGGAAUCGCUAGUAAUCGCAGAUCAGAAUGCUGCGGUGAAUACGUUCCCGGGUCUUGUACACACCGCCCGUCACACCAUGGGAGUCGGAAAUGCCCGAAGCCGGUGACCAAACCAAUAAGGAAGGAGCCGUCGAAGGCAGGUCUGGUAACUGGGGUGAAGUCGUAACAAGGUACC